Molecule: long non-coding RNA, 1367 nt
Filed under: Marmota monax (woodchuck)
Lineage: Eukaryota; Metazoa; Chordata; Mammalia; Rodentia; Sciuridae
Source: RNAcentral
AGCACGGGGAGGGGGCGCGCUCGCGAGGGGCGGCGACGUGCCUCAGCCGGGCGCGCGCGCCCAGCGGGCUCUGAGGGAGCGCCCGGCGCGGGCAGGAAUCGUGCCCGCCAGCCCCGGCUGCGGUACUGGGGCGACCCCACACACACCCCUCCCGUUAGCCGCGGGCAGGGAAAAGGGCAAGCCUCAGGGAGGCAGUCUGUCCUCCGAAGGGGAUGUUACUCACCAUAAUUUAAAAAAAAAAAAAAAAAAUGCAGCUUUGGGGAAGGUGAACAGCCGCUCUGAGAUCAUUUCCCACAACGGUCUGAGCCAUCGUCUUUUAAACUGUGACAUGUGCAGAUGACUAUAUCAUUUUUAAGACACUAGUCCUUGAAUCGUUCCGCCAUCUCUCACCCGCGCUCACAAGGCACCCCUUAAUUAGCAACUAAACGGUGAGGGGAGGAAACAAAACAAUUCAAUAUCCAUACUGCAUUGAGACUUCUAAAGGGGGCUACAGUUGCCAGCCCCCUGCCUGUCUUUCGUAAUUUAUCCUGGCGCUUUCCAGGUCAGUGUAAAGUAACCCAGGCGCUCGGUUCCCCAGCUCCGGACUCCUUUGAUGUUAUCUGCUCUUGUUGCAGGUACACUUGGAGGCUGAUAAGGUAACAGGAAUUAGACCCUGAACUCUGCUCCUCACAAAGACAUGGCUUUCUUUCCCUGCUCGUUCCUCUUAUUUUCCAUUCUACAGAAGAAGCUCACAGUCCCUACUCUCUUCUUCUGGAACUGAGGAGUGAGGGGUCAUCAUGAACACCACUGGUAGACACACAAGCAAAUCUUCCAGGGAAGGGGAGUGAGAGAAACUUGAAUAUUUGAUUGAAUAAUGCUCUUCUUUGAAGAUAUUUUAUACCUGCAUACCACCAUUUAUUUAGUAUAGCUUGUAUCCUCUCUUUCUUCGAUUCUGAAAUGAAAGAAAAAUCAAGAAAUCAGAGCAAGCCACAACCUGGGUAAUUGAUCUUUAGUUCCCAUUGCACUCCACUUUUCCGUCAGAACACUUAUGAUGGCUGAGUUGGGUUGUAAACUCUACAAAGCAGGAGUUGUGCUCUGUGGUUCAUUAUAUUUUUAGUAUCUAGCAGAAUCCUGAUCCCACCUGGCCUCUUAUUUAUAUUUGAGUGAAGGAAAGAAGGGUGGUAACCUAAGUAGUAGCAGGAUGUUGAUGCUACUAGGGAAAUAAAUGUUAAUAUGUGUAACAUAUUUAUGAACACUUUGUUCAUUUACUAUUAUAAAAUUAUUGCUUCUUGCGCUGGGGUUGUAGCUCAGUUGUAGAGUCCUUGCCUCACAUGUGGAAGGCACUGGAUUCGAUCCUCUGGUCACCACAUAAAAAUAAAAAUAAAGGU